Molecule: long non-coding RNA, 4642 nt
Organism: Choloepus didactylus (southern two-toed sloth)
Lineage: Eukaryota; Metazoa; Chordata; Mammalia; Pilosa; Megalonychidae
Exons: 3
Source: RefSeq, a predicted model, not a curated record
UCCGGCGGGAGCGGGCGCGCUUUCCCCGCGCGUCUUCAGCGAUCGCCGCUGCCGGUGUCGCGGUCGCCACCACCUGCUCUGGAGGCUCGUAGAGCGAAGCCGCUACCAAGCCCCAACCAAAAGAAACCGAGAGUGUUGGAGUAGCCCGGCCGUGGCCCCGAACGGACUCACUCCCUCGUCUUCCAGACCCCCAAGUGCUGCGGAGAGGAAAUGACGGACACGCAGUGACCGUAGAGGGGCUCACGCCGAGCUCCCGGUUUCUCGAAUCUGGGGACUCGGCUGUAAAGGAGAGAGUCGUGCGGCGGUUCAGGGCUCGGGCACUCCGCCCCCUCUCUGCAUCCACGCCGCCUGGUGUUGGUUCGGGAUCCCAUCGUGUCCCGAGCCUAUGGACCGCACGCCGAGGGUGGCUGGUGGCCACCGAGCUGUGCAAGACAGGCGUUGCCUGCUGGAGCGUAGCUGUUAGGAGUGUGGCCUUUGAGGUCAGCGCUGGGUCGAAAUCACAUCCUAGCUGCGAGAUCUGGACUCUGAGUUGCCUCCUUGGAAGAAUAAGGAGGGUACGUCCAGAUUCACAGUCCGGUCCAGCUUUAAGCUGAGCCCGGGAAAUUAAUGACCCACAGUGUUUACCCCGAGAUCGAAAGCAGCAGCUCCCUCGGCUUGAAUUUCACACCACCUACAGAUACACAUCUCACAGCCGUGCGGUUAAAAAGACCUGGGCCGCCAGAAGUUAAGCAGCAUUCAGUUUGUCAUCAGCCAGUUUUUCCAGUUUUAAAGAGCCAAGAAUCAGCCUGGUAGCAUCAAAAGAACAUGAGCUUGGAAGUUGAAGGUAUGAGCUGGGGGAAGGAGCUGCUCACGUGCUCUUGAUUGAAAAAGGGUCUUCCUCUGUCAGCGAAGGUGAGAAACUGGUCCAGAGAGGUUAAAUGACUUGCACGUGGCCAAACAGCUCUACCAACCACCAGGGCAGAUGGCUUUUUCAUCUCGGUUGUCAAGCUCCAGUUCUUCCAGGGUGUUCGGUCCUGGCUGCUGCUUCCAGGAUGACUGACUUGGGGCCAGCAGGAUCCUGUCUGCCUGCUCCACUGUCGCGUCUGUGACAGCUCUUCGCAGCUCACUUCUUGGAAGCUCACACUCUCCUUCCAGACUCAGAGAAUGCAAUUCAAAGUGCUCGGGGAGCCUUUGAGUCAUACUCCGUCUGUGAAUCAACCUUCAUCCAUCUAUUCUGAACAGAGAGAUCUCAUCCUCCUCCAGUUUCUGGAACUGGAACCUGGUAUUUUUUCUUUUGGAUUCUGCAGAAUGAGUGUCUUUCACCUCCAAGUAUAUCAGGUUCCCCUCCCAAUUUCAGACUGAAGACUGAAAGUCAGAGGUGGAUAUAAGCAUCUAAUCUAAGAUCGUGGAGGGAACGCUUAAGACAACCUUGGAGGCUUAACAGGGGUUUCACAGCCCACGUCCUGUGAGUUGGCAGAGCCCCCUCACAACAGAAACUUCAUAAACCUCUCCAUGGCUAACUGGCGAAGGUGGACAUAUAUGCAGACAGCUUGCUGGUCAAAUGCCCUGGGCAGCUAGAAGGAUGUAGAUGACCAUCUGAAUCCAAGAAGCAGGGAAGUUACCAUGGCUACUAAGAGCUGUAAUCAUUGGCUGCUUUAGCUAUGGGGACCAACUCAGCUGACCUCUCAAGUUCCCUUCCAGCCCUGGGAUUCUACAAUUACAAUUACACUGAACCAGCUGAGACCAUGUCUGCUGCAAGGAAAUAGGAAGUCCUGUGACACAUAAGGCUCAGGCAUAGGAAGGAAAGAUUUCAUCAGAAGUAUCUUAGAGGUCACCUUGUCUUAUUCAUCAGAAGCCUUGAGUCACAAGCCUGCUUUCUACCUCUGCUGCAUUUAUUAGUAAACAGAGCCUUGCUUUUUUGGGGUAUAGGAUUUUAAACCUCUUACAGAGUGAGUUCACUACCACAUUUAUUUCUCUUCCUUUUGCAGCUCUGGCCAGUAAUUUUAAUAGAGGUUUGCUUUGUAUUGUGACCAGGGAAACAGCCCAGAAAAACUUGUGUCACUGGGCUCAGGGGGUGUGCCCUAUCAGACAGGACGCCUGUGUCACGAGCCUUCUAAGAAUCUGGAGGAAGGAAGUCACUCAUAAAGAAGGCAGAUGCUGAAAUGCAACUUUGGUUUCCUCUUGCAAGUCCUUUGAUUAUAGGAAUGUGGCUUUCUUACUCCACAGAGGGGGUGGAUUUCACUUUAAAACUUGCUACCAGAAGCUCCCCUACCUUUCCGAGUCAGGACAGAGCAAGGCAGUGGCUAUAUUCUCCACACCAGAUGAGAUCACAGGCCCAGCUGCACCUCCCUCAAGACCUGACCUCCGGACAGAGAAGUCUGUAGGUAUCUACAUGACUUCAAAGAGCAUGGGACAUACCCAGGAAAUCAGAGUUCUGCUAAUACUUACAGAGAGAGUUGCCAACCUUUCCUUAUCCCUGAUGCAGGAAGCUUCAUGUUUAGCAGAUGUUUGGAGAUUUAAAAAAAAAAUCUGCUUAUGUCAAGAUGAAAUCAAAGCCUUUAUUAAACAUUCCUCCUUCAAACAGCCUGCAUUUAAACCUAUGCUCCUCCCCAGACUCGUGAACUGCCAGGGCCACGUGAAUGUUGUUUUCAUCUGACGGCCAGAUCCCACCAGGCAGCACAAGCAUGAAAAGCCAAGCCUAGCCACACCCCACUUGACACACCUCUCCACUCCUGUACCCACUCAGGAUCUAGGCAAAAGUCUGAUGGUGCCGACUCUCGAAUCAGAGCUCAAGCACAGAAGAAGAGGAACCAGAAGUCUGACCCCACUUGUUCCAGACCAAAUCCCACUAAGCUGGUUAAUCAGCUCUCUGGCCACCAUCUGGUAAGGCCUGCGCAUGUGCUUUUUCUUCUCUUCUCCAAAGAAAAGGGUGAGAGAUGGAGGAGGCAAUUUUCAGUUGUGUGUGGGCUUGAGUUAAGGCUUUGGCUGUGGUCUGUUGAUAUAUUAAAAUACUUUCUGGGAACGCCAUCUCCUAAGCUCCCCAUCAGAACAAAUGUAUUUUCAAAAAUGAAAACAUUGAACAAAGAUGUGGAGCCGAAACACUGACAUAGAGCUCGGUGGGCUGGGCCAGGCCCAUCAUGUCAGGAUGGUGUCAUCCACCUGCUCCGCUGAGUCGGCCUGGCUGGCCAGCUUCUUCAGGGACCUUCGGUGGCACUCAUUCAGCACCUCCAAACUGGCCACAUCCAGGAUCUUGGAGAGAGACUGUGAGGAAAGGUGGGAAAGAGGAGAGGUGGUCAGAAAACAGGGCUUUGGAUUUCUCUAAUCCAAGACAAAAAUGAGUGUUCACUCAGAACUAGAGUCAUGAGGUGGAAUUUGGCAAAAUAGGGGAAUCGGACUGAUCUGGGGAAAGCAAAGUGUUCAGCUUGCUUUUCAUGGGGUAAGGUGGUAGUUUUCAGGGCCUAGGGUUGCUAGCAGAAAGGUGGCCGAGGGGACAGGACUGUGGGCUUCAACAGGACAGUUUGACCUGGGUCUUGUCUGCCAUGUUUGGGUGCCACAUGAGAUUUUAUUUGAAGAAAGGGCUCAGCUGCUCAAAGAAGUCUGAAAACCACAGGAGCAGAGGAAUAUGUGUUUUCAGACAGUAGACCAGGCACCUGAAUCACCAUCUGCUUCUCAAAACUAACACAUAUGUGGUGGCAGAGAAAGGAGUAUGACACCUAAAUAUUGUCAUGCAGAAGAACUGCAAAAUGAAUGCUCGCAGCAAACAGAGAGAGACAGAAAGUAAAGUACCAGUUAUGGGGAGGGGUGGGGGGUAGAAGAAUUGCUGCAUAAUGGUGCAGAGUUUUUUGGGGGGUUGAUGAGAAAGUUCUGGUAAUGGAUGGUGGGUUAAGGGUAGCACAAUAUUGUAAAUGUGAUAAAUCCCACUGAACUGUAUGCUUGGGAGUAGCUGAGAUGAGAAAGUGUAUGCUGUAUAAGCAACUAAAGAGACAGUGACAAUUAAAUGGAUAAAAGAUCUGGAUGGGAUCUAGCAAGGGAGGAGAAAAGGGUCAAAGGGAUAUUAUUGGGACAUAUGAAAAAAUUGGAAUAUAUACUGAAAGCUUUGUAUCAAUGUUAAAGUUCUUGAACUUGAUAACUCUAAGGUAGUAACAUAAGUGAACGUCCUUGUUCUUAGGAAAUGUACACAAAAGUAUAAUGUGGUCAAGGAGCAUGAUGUAUAAAACCUACUUUCAAAUAGUUAGAAAAUACAUAAAGGAGAGACAGAUGGACAGACAGACAGACAGAUAAAAGGACUACCAGAUGGAAUGAUAAACAGAUUGAUAGACGAUGGAUAAAAUGAUAUAACCAGUGAUAAAAUGUUAGAACUUUGUAAAUCUGGAGGAUCUGGAUAUAGCUAAGGUACUUUGGUGUUCCUAUAUUGGUUCUGUGUUAAUUUUGCAACUGUCCUAUAAUUUUGAAAUUAUUUUAAGAUUAAAAGUUUAAGAAGAGAAAAAACACAUGCGGGCAGCGUGCCCUGGGGAAGGCACUCAAGUCCCAGGUUCCCACCUGAAACACCUCCUCGCCCUGCCUCAUCUUGAGGAGAUUGACAAUUGCCUGGUCGCUGUAGGCCCUGACGACGGUGUUUUUAUCCUUGGUGUUGUCAAGAAGCGCCUUCAGAAUGGGUUUGAUG